This 424-nucleotide ribosomal RNA is filed under the name uncultured bacterium. Its description in RNAcentral is "bacterial SSU rRNA". It matches the Rfam family "Bacterial small subunit ribosomal RNA", at positions 355 to 776 of the family's 1533-position model. The record is from RNAcentral.
UAAGGAAUAUUGGUCAAUGGGCGCAAGCCUGAACCAGCCAUGCCGCGUGCAGGAUGACGGCUCUAUGGGUUGUAAACUGCUUUUGUACGGGAAUAAACCCUCCGACGUGUCGGAGGCUGAAGGUACCGUAAGAAUAAGGAUCGGCUAACUCCGUGCCAGCAGCCGCGGUAAUACGGAGGAUCCAAGCGUUAUCCGGAUUCAUUGGGUUUAAAGGGUGCGGAGGCGGACAUGUAAGUCAGUGGUGAAAUCCUACAGCUUAACUGUAGAACUGCCAUUGAUACUGUUUGUCUUGAGUAUAGUUGAAGUAGCUGGAAUGUAUCAUGUAGCGGUGAAAUGCUUAGAUAUGAUACAGAACACCGAUUGCGAAGGCAGGUUACUAAGCUAUAACUGACGCUCAUGCACGAAAGCGUGGGGAUCAAACAGG